GCCGGGCGUGGUGGUGCGUGCCUGUAGUCCCAGCUCCUCGGGAGGCUGAGACAGGAGAAUCGCUUGAACCCAGGAGGCAGAGAUUGCAGUGAGCCAAGAUCGUGCCACUGCACUCCAGCCUGGGUGACAGAGUGAGACUUUGUCUUCA
Molecule: unclassified non-coding RNA, 148 nt
Organism: Pongo abelii (Sumatran orangutan)
Lineage: Eukaryota; Metazoa; Chordata; Mammalia; Primates; Hominidae
Rfam family: Metazoan signal recognition particle RNA
About the family: The signal recognition particle (SRP) is a universally conserved ribonucleoprotein.
Source: Ensembl